RNAcentral lists this long non-coding RNA (12957 nucleotides) under Medicago truncatula (barrel medic). Its description in RNAcentral is "long non-coding RNA (MTRU_LNC001402)". The record is from RNAcentral. Lineage: Eukaryota; Viridiplantae; Streptophyta; Magnoliopsida; Fabales; Fabaceae.
ACCUUAUAAGAGGAAAGUAAGCCCUGCAAAUGCUGAGGAAUUCAACCAUUCUAGCACCUCUAGGAAAAAUUUAGUUAUCAUGAUCUUUCUCAUAGGUCAUAAUUUUUAUUCUUUACAUGUUUGCUAGUUUUACCAAAUAUUGCAUUGCUCUAUAUAGGAAGAAAACAAGUACUGAUGAUGCCAAUGGACCUAAGACACAAAAGAGGUUGCAAUUGCAAAAGGUCUAAGUGUACAAAAAAUACUGUGAAUGUUUUCAAUUUGGUAAUUCCAACAGUUUGAAAAUGUGCCUUCGGUAUGUACAUACCGGAGGUGCAAAAUGAGAAAAGUUAAAAUGAACUACCGGUAUUUAUCUACCGGAAGUCUUAUAAAGGUUAUUUUUGUAUUUUUAGGGGGCCUAAAGAGAUAUUGAGGGGGCCUAAAAAGCAAUCCUCCUUUCUUAUUAUUAUGGGUGAUAAUUUAGGCCCAUUGUGUCUCUUUAACUAAAGCAAUGGUCGAUAAAAUGUGAAGUUUUCACCCCCCACAUCCUCGAGUACCCUCUUCAUACCGCUCAUUUUUCAACUCAUAAUUUUUUUAAAGAAGUUUGUUAUGUAUUUUUAAGCACUAUGAUACAGUGAUUAUGUAUCUCAUUAAAUUAGUUUUCUAGUGAGAGAAACUCCAACUUCUCUCUAAACUUUCUUUCUCCUUCGUUCAUCGAGGAGGGGUGGUUUUAGGUCAUUUUUUGACCUAGAAUCACCCCUCUACAUCUUUUUUCCCCUUUUCGUUCAAUCUAAAUAAGUGGUUUUCACAUCUAUCAAGUUUUUUCUUUUGUGUUUUUUGUGAUUUCGUCGUCUAAGUGCGGUGUUGUGUGUUGUUCGUCGUCUUGUGCGGCGUUUGAUUUCGCGUUUUGUCGCGAUGUUUGUUCAAUUCCUAUUGAAAGAUCUACAUCAAUCAAUUACAAAUUAAAGCAAUGAUUUGGACGUCAACGUUGCAGAUCCGGAAGCAUGGGUAUUUCGGUGAUUUAGAUUUUAUCGUAUUAUUUGUAGGCAUUUUGCCGUUGUAUGCUAUUAACUUGGGUGUUGUGAGUUUGUUCGCAGAUUCACCCUUUACGUUUUUAGCGAUGUUUGUAUCUGAUGGACUCUAUCGAUUUGAAUGAAUGAAUAUCGUUUUGUUUUUGUAAAAAAAAAAAAAAUGUAUCUCAUUAAAUUAGGGUCGAUACUGAAUUGGCUGAGGGCACAUUAGUAAAUUUGUUGGGCAUUAAUCUACUGCUAUCUACUAAUUACUAUAAGAAAAUUGUACUAUAACAAAAUUUCAUAGUUAUCAUUCAUCAUCUUCUAAGCGUUAAUUUGCAAAAUAAAAAACUAAUUUAUUAAUUUUUUUGUAUUUAUCACUUCCAAACCUAACUAAUUAUCUAUAUUUAAAAAUAAAAAAAAAACCAAUUUAUUCACAUGAUGAUGACUACAUAUUUUUUGUAACGGAAAAUAUAUUUACUAAUUUUUUUGGCUUUACACUUCCUACCUAACUAAUUUCCUAUAUUAAAAAAAGUCAAUCUAUUAUAAUAUAUUAAUCUACUACUACUAUAAUAAAGUCAUACUCAUAAUCUUCUUAAAUUUAUGGUUUUAAUCGUCAUUUUGCAGAUUAAAAAAUUAAUCUAUUCAAUUGUUGAGAAAUUAGUUUUCUGGUUCUAUUACUUCCAAGACUAAAUAAUUCCUAUAUUAAAGAUAAAAAGUCGAUCUUUUUCUUUUGUUACAUGAGAGAAGGAAAAAGAAAAAAGCAAAGAAAAAUUGUGUUAUAAUAAAAGGCACUCCUAUAGCAUUGGCUAUAGAUGAGGAUAUACAUGGUAAUGGUUGAUUAAUAAUCAUAAGAGCAUUGACGGAGCCAGGAAUUUUAUAGAACAUGGGCAAAAAAUUUAUCGUAAAACGUUACUUCCUUCCUGCGAAUAAUUUCACAUUUCCUGCGGAUAAUAUCACAUUUUCUGCGGAUAUGUCUUUCCUGCGGAUCCUAAAAUCCUAAGAUAUUACCUCACCUGGGAACCUAAAUCCUUGAUAAAAUCUACAGGAAAUGUGUUUCCUGCGGACUUUACACAAAAAUCCGCAGGUAAAUCCCAGGAAAAGCUAAAAGUUCAAGUAAUGGCUGGGCAAGUAUAUCCGCCAAGAGUUUCCUUCACGAAAAUUAUGAUGAAUGGAAAUAUGUCACUCCUUGAACAAAUACAUCCGAAUGAGUUCCAAGAGGAUCACACAGUGGUGAAGCCUCGACACUUCCUUUGAUACAAAAUGCACUACAUGAAGAGAGUCGACAAAAACAAACCAAUUUCUUAGAACCAUCCUUCAAGCAAAGCUUAACUCCAAUCAUAAGGGCAUGAAUUUCUACAUGCAAAAAAAUACUACUACCUAGAGUUGCUGAUCAAAAUGGAUUAUUACUGUUAAAAGUGAUUGUACUUGAACUUUAUGAAAUUUGAGUAGAAUUUCGUACGGGUGUACAUGUGGUAUUUGAGUCAUAAGUUUUGCUCUAUAACCAAGUUUUGAGUGCUUGAUGAAAAUUUGGAAUCUUGACUCAAUUCCCUUCUAUUUGAGUACAAUUUGAUAUGGUUUCGACUAAUAAUGAGUUUAGAAAUUGUGUUUAAAGUCAAGGGUACUCAUACUUGAAAUUGUAGGGCAGACUCUGCGGGUUUUAAUGUACUCAUAUUGCUUUGAUUUCCUGGAGGUUUAGGAGCAUUUAAAGGAGCUGUUUUUAAAGAUUUGGAUUGGGUCUCUAGGAACCUUAGAAUAGAAUUAAGCAUAAAUUCUUCUGAAGCUAAGGUGUUACCGUGAGUCGUUUGGAAUGGUCAAGAGUGGUUAGGCUAUGACAAAAGUGAGCUUAUGCCGAUUAUACGUUGUGGAAUCAGUGGGUGCAAGAGUUGAAGCUUUGCAUAAGCAGGAUUUGGGUAUAAGCCGGUUACAAUAAGUUAAGGGACCAAAUAAUCAAUUAAACUUAAAAAAUAACAAGAAUACUGAUUUGACAUUUUCAAUAUUUCUGAAACAUGCUAGAUCCGUUUUCAAAAAUUGUAAAUGAAGAUGGUGAGGAAAGUUGUACCCUGUUGUUUCUAAUGCUAAUCAAAGGCAUGAUUCCCUCACAUAUAGUCCUAUAAAAUGCUGCCCAAUGAUAUUUGCCCAAUAUAAAGUUGUGCCCUAACUUAUUUCCACCUUGUGGCUUCAUGAAAUCUACUAUCCAUACCCAAUACUCUAUGUAGGUAACUAGAGUACAGCACAGCGCAGCAUGCAACAUUGCCAAUAACAACCUUGUUCUACGGUUCAAAAGGUCAAAGUCAGUUAAAUAAAAACCAAACUAGGAAAACAUAUAUAUAUAAUGUUGCUAUUAUACCAUGUUCUAUGUGAAAUUACCAGCAACACCAUGUUAAUAAGCAACCAUUUCCAAAACAGAAAAACUAACUAAAGAAACAUUCAGGUAAAAGAAAUUCAUUAUCUUGCAAUUUUCUAGUCGUUAUUUCGAAUCUGUACCAUAUGUAUAACAUAUUCUAGGAUGAGAUUCUUUUAGAAUAUGUAACUUUAUUAUGGUUAUGAUGUUCACAGGUAAUGUCCAAAUUUGCGAGGGAUUGAUCACGAGAUAACAACAAAUCGAGCAACUCUAGAGUUCCAAGCUUUUGUAGUUGCAACGUAGAAUAUCAUUUGUCAAUUUCGUACGAUGAUUUGAAUGUUAACGUUCAUGAAAUGGCAUUCAAGAGGAUAUAAUGAUCCUGUCAUACAGUAAGAUGCAAUCAAAAGCAUAAAUAUUAAUCAGCAUAAGAAAUGAUUACAAAAAUUUAGGGAUUGAAGGUUUGCAUCUUUUGGUUUAAAUUUGAGUUUUGACUAGAAUAGGUUUAGACCAUUUUAGGUUCAGAAGAAGAAACACAAGAAUCAACACCUAAGACAAUGGGAUCAGGCAAAAGGUCAUUUUGUAACCAGACAUUUAAUCUUUGGAAAAGAUCGUGCUUUCAAAGAAUCAUAUUCGUUGGAAAAAUAUGUGGUAACAUAGGAAUCCCCUUGCUUGGGAAAUUUGAACAAUAUCACCAUGUUUGAGUUCUUGCUAAACGGAAGAUAUGUUAUUAAUCCAUCAGAUGCUACUAAUGAUUUCUGGAGAAAUUGAAUGGUAGGUUCAAGAGAUGAUCAACGUGUUUAUACAAGACUUAAAAAAUAGAGUCGUCGGAGGAUGGUUUAAUGAAUAAAACCACAUAUUAGAUCAAUUUAUAAGAUUGCCAUGGCUGUUUAUACAAGACGAGUUUAACAGUUAAUCCUUAUUGAAAAGCUAAUUGAACAAGCAAACUACAAACAGAAAGUACGUACAAAUAUCUUAGAAUUACAAAUACAAAAUAUGAAAGUAGCUAAUCCAAAAAAGAUAACCCAAAAUUUCAAUUACUAAACCACAUAUUACUAUGGAAAAAAGACAAUUUUUGUUCUCUAAUGUCGAUAAAGUAUAUUACAGCAGCAACAGACAGAAUUUUCUAGCAGCAGCAGCAGCAUUAGAAGGCAAAAGAAGAUGAGUGCAAAGAAAUGAAGUGUUGAGUCAAUAACAAUGUCAAUUUAACUAUGCUUAGAGAAGUUUCUAAAUUAAUAUAAUGCAGAAUUUGAGUAACAAACAAAAGUGUACAAGACACAAGGUUGAUAUUAAAUUCAGGUAAGAAGAGACACAAGCUUGGUAGACCUGUUGUGUCCUUCAAAUCAGAAUCUUACUUGUGCAAAUUCGUUUUUAUAGCAGGUUAAUUGAAAUCCUGCAUUCAUCAGUCAUCACUAGUGAGGCACGUUCAACUCAUAUUCCCUGCAACCGGUACCUCAUUUUUACAAUGAUUUCUAUAGCUUGGCUAAGACAAAUUUACCACAACAAAACUCAAACAAAAUGCUAAUAAUUGUUUAACCAAAAUAAACGGAUCCUCGUCAAAUGCAUUCAUGUUUGUUAUAAACUAGAAUUUGAAUUCUGUUUUCCAUAUAAGGAGCACGAUUUAAAUACCAAAUUGAAUGCAUAAUAAAUGGAAUCAUGAAAACUAAAAUUGAUGAAUAUUGAUGAAAAAACCAUAACAAAUAAUAUUCAAAAGUCAGAAGCCAAUAAAUCAGUGAAACUUUACAUGUAUUAUUAAACAAAUGUUGGAGAUUUGGUAGAAUUAAUUUUUUGCUGCUGGACAAUAAAGAAUGUGGACAUAGGAGUCAUACAACUUUCAUUUAUAAGCGAAAAUUCAUUCAGUAUGAAUGUACGAAAAGAAGAAAUGUGUUUUCAACAGGCAAAUAAGAAACUUUAUAAUCAAAUUGAGAAAUAAAAUGUGUUUUCACAGUGGCGAGGGGGACAAGGUCCACAAGUCAAACAUCGUGAAGAACAACCACCAACCACUUUGACCUCUUGAAGGUCACAGUUCCUGCAGAGAUUCUUAACUGAGUGUUGACCCGCGAUAGUAUGAGUUAAAGCAAUCCUGCGGAGUUUGGGAAGCGCCAAGAAUUGAUCAUCACUAUCUAUCACACAGUUACUACGACAACCAGUGUCGGUAAGGAUGAGUUCUUCGAGUAGAGGGAAACAAUCAGCAAUGAAGAGCAGAUCAUUCUUGUUAAUAAAUCUCAGUUGAUAACAAGUGAGAGAUGUCAAAUUUUUCAUUUUCUUGGACAAAACACGCAACUCAUUUUGAGGAACCUUGGGGGGGUGGUAGAGAGUGAGCGAUUUGAGGUCUAAAGGGAAAGUGGAGAUUUGGUUUAGAAACUCACUGAGGUCAGCUUCUCGGGCCCCCGCAUCGAGAGAGAGAGAGUGAUAUUGAGUGAUGCAAUGUUAGGGAACCUUUCAAAGAGACGAUUAAGAAAAGGGAUAGUUGCAUUGGAGAUUGUGACCAAGAAUCGAAGACUGUUGGUGAUGGACAGAAACUGUUUUGAGACGAGGGAGAGAGAUCUGAAACUACCGUUGGUGAUGGGUAGAGAUUGUUUUGAGACGUGGUAGAGAGUUCCUAUUCUGCGCUGGAUAUGUUGAAAACCUAUAUUCCCAUCAAGACGAAGAAGGUUGAAGGUGUUGUUGUCCUCGUCGUUGAGGAAUUUGAAGAUGUGUUCCCAUAACUCCUCUGGUAAAUAUGAACGUGUUGAAGCCAUUGUUUUUGAAACAUUGAAUUUGGAUGAUGUCGCCAUUGUUUUGAAACAGAUUCUCUUGUUGAUGUGGUAGGCUGUGCCGAUGGAAUGGAAUUUUGAAGCAAGAAUAAUUAGGGUUACUAUUUUCUUGAAUAUAUCUUCUUUCUAAAUGCAAUAUUAACCCGGCAAAUUCUAUGGUACACCCAAUAAAUUUGGGUGUAUUGGGUGUAUCGGUCGUAAAAUUAAUAAUAAAUGAGUUGUUUUUUUGAAGAAAAGUAAUUAUUUUAUAUCAUUGACAACUAAGAUAAUUAAAUUUUAUUUACCAAAAGUUUCGACGAAAUAAAAUUUAAUUUUUAAGAAUUUUUAUUACUUAUAACAAUGAAUAUUGAUUAUUUUUUAUGACAAAAUGUAAAUUUUUUAAUAUGAUCCUUAUAAACAAUGAAAUGAUGAUUUUUCUUAUGAAAUGGUGUUUUCUAAAAUAUAAAUAUUGACAAAUACAUUUUUAUUUCAUUAAGGUGAUCGUUAAUUUAUAUAUUUUGUGAAACAAGAGUACCGGUACACUCAAAAUUGUGAGUGUACCAUAGAAGUUCCCUAUUAACCCUAGAUUUAACCUAAUUUUUUUCACGUGACUUUACUAUUCUUAUUUCUAAAUGUUAACCCGUGACGCAAUAUUAAACCUAGAUUUCGCGUGGCUUUACUAUAUUAACCCUAGAUUUAAUUUAUGCAAAAUGUCAUAUCUUAUUUCUAAAUGUUAAGCCGUGAUUCAAUAUUAACCCUAGAUUUAACCUAAUUUUUUCAUGUGACUUUACUAUUCUUAUUUCUAAAUGUUAAUCUGUGACGCAAUAUUAACCCUAGAUUUAACCUAAUUUUUUCGUGUGACUUUACUAUAUUAACCCUAGAUUUAAUUUAUGUAAAAUGUCAUAUCUUAUUAUAUGCUAUUUUUUUUGGAAAUUCUUAUUUAUUAAUUUUGGUAGGUCUGCAGCAAUUUAACCUAAUUUUUUCCCUCCACUAAUUCCUUAUUAGAUUUGCAACAACUCUAUCCUAAAAUUUUGGCUCUAAAUUUGCAUCAUAUAUGUUUUUCAUUUCUCUCUCUAAUAACCCUGGAUAUUUUUCAAAGCAAAAAUUUAAUAGAUAUCUUAAUCCUUAUCCUUAUUUUUUAUUAACUUUAUUAGGUCUGUAACAACUUAACCUAUUAUUUCUGUAGAUUUUUUUUUUGACACAUUGUUGUACACUUAUUUAAUACAUUUACAAACAAAAUAUCCUAAUUUUCAUGCAAACUCGGCUACCUUAAAUAAUUUGUUAGGAACCAUGAACUACAUUAAUUUUUUAUGUUUAACUAUAAAAGUAAUAAAUAAAAUUGACCCGUGCAACAAUAUUAUUCUUUUUAUCUUUUUUCUUUUUAACUUUUUUUAUUAUCAUUUGAUUGCAAUAUUGUAUCUCUAAUAAUCUAAUUUGCGUUUAUUGAUCCACCCAUGAUCUUACGGUUAAAGAUUAUUUAUUGGUCUCUAUUAUAGUCGAGAAGACCCGUGGGUCGCACUGGUCAAAAGUCUAGUCUAAAGUAAAAUAAAAUUAUGUUCCUAAUUAUAUGCUAUUUUUUGGGAAAUCUCUUACUUAUAAAUGUUAACCCGUCUCGAUAUACUUAACAUAAUUUUAACCUAAUUAUGUUAUGAUACAGUACCAACAUCUAUUCUUCUUAAUAUUAUGAAAUAUUGUAUGACAAUUAUGACAUUCAUCUAAACUAUUUUGUUAUCUAUUACCGUCAAAUAUUACCUUCCAUAUGACAUGUGCGUUAGCACGGAUCGAUGGUCUAGUUAGUAUUAUUAUUAGGUAGUUACUUGUUAGGCUCCCCUUAUAUCUUCUUAGGCCCCCUAAAAUUACUAAAUUAGCCUUUGUUAUUCCUACAAUUUAUACAUACCUAACUCUUCGGUAGAUAUUUACCGGAGGGCCAUUUUUCCAAUUAAUUUGCAACUAAUUCUAACCAACUUGCAACUACAUGUGAUAUAACAAACAUCAUCGAAUUCUAGUAAGUAGAGUGAAUAAAACAAAGGGAGUAAGAAAUUGUUACUUACCUGGUACCCUAUUGACACAAGCUGCAAGUUUCUGUGACAAUGCUUUCAGCCAAUUUCUUACCUGCACAACCAAUAACAUGCAUCAAAUCAAACAAACAAUCACAACAUUAAAAUUAAUUAAAUACAUAAGCCAAGAAGAGAUAUUAAAACAAUCACGCGACCUGCUUCUUUGUUGGGAACAGUAACAUAUACAAGGAUGCUUGGAACAGUGGUGUUAUUUGUAUUCCUGUCCAUUAUAUUAUAAUGAAAUUACUGUUCUUUGUUGAAAACCUGCUAUUCAAUUUAGAUCUGAAACAAAACAAGAGAAGCAAUUCAACAAAAUAUAUAGAGAGAAAGAAAUCAAUAAAAUAACGCAUGCACACACUCCCUGUUUUGAGGGCAGAGGAAUACAAGGGUGUGAAGAGAUUGGAGAGGCCCAAAGUGAGCAUGAAAAACGCACCUACAAUGGGUAAACAACGUCUUAGCGUGGAGGAGGAGACGAAGAUUCCGGAAGUGGAGGAGUAGAGUGUUGAUGUGGAAGAAGCCAUCUUAGAAGAAGCCUUUGUUAUGUACAUCCGGAAGGUUUUAAAUGUGAAAAUUUAAAAUGCACCACCGGUAUUUAUAUACCGGACAUAUUAGAAAGGCUAUUUUCGAAUUUUUAGGGGACCUAAAGAGAUAUUAGGGGGCCUAAAAAGCAAUACUCUUAUUAUUAUGGUUAAUAAUUUAGGCCCAUAGUGGCCCUUUAACCAAAGCAAGGCUAAAGGAAAUUGUUGUUUUAACUUAAAAAUUUGCUUUUAAAACUCGAAAUAUACCUGCCAAUGGCAAUUAAUUGUUGCUCGUUAAAUAUUUCAACGACAGUUAACAGAUAUUGUGUUUCGGUUUAUUUCAUAAUAGUAACCGCAAAUAACCAUUACAUGCACUACUACAAUUUUGGGCUUUAAUAGCGCUUCAACAUAAACGCUAUUAAAAAUGUGAAACACAGAAAUUCUAUAGUGUUUUUUGUCGAGCGCUAAUAAACAGUCCUCAUAAAUUGGCUUAUAUAGCGCUUUCGGUUGAGCGCUAUUAUUUUCCUUCUGUUAGAUAGCGUUUUUAACAAAACGCUAUGUUUGGCCUGCAUCAAUUAUCAAAAAAGAGGCGGAUUCUUUUUAAUUUCCGCGCACAUAUUUUCACCAAAACCCACCCACACCUCACCACACCAAAACAAAAACAAAUCAGAAACACGUACACCUCCAUCUACUUUUCCAAAAACCCAUCGAUCUCCUUUUCCAUAAACCCAUCGAUCUGCUUCUCUUCUUCUCACUGAGUCCAUCGAUUUCCUUCUCACUGUGUUCAUCGAACCUUCUCCAAAACCCCAUACUCACUCAUAGUUGCUUCAAUUUCUUCCUUCAUCCUCACUCACUCUUCAAUCCCUUUAUCAUACCUUCAUUGUUCCUUAAAAAAUUCAAAACCCAGAACUCAUUGAAUUCAAUCGAACCCAAAAACCCCAACUCGUCAAAAACCCUUAUCACAGAUUUCAAGAAUCGAAACCCUACCCUUUCCAGUUUCAAUUCCAUAAGUUGAUUAAUCAAUUGAAACCGUAAAGAGAAGGAGCAUCCGUAGCUGCCGCCGCCGCCGCUGUUGUCUCUGUUUGUUCUUCAAGAGCAGUAAGAUUGGUUUUUAACAAUUUUAUGUUGUAAAAUAAGUAUUUUGAUGGUAGUUUUAUGUUGUUUAUGUAUGAAAUUGGAUUGUUUAGAGUUAUGAAAUUUGGAAAGUAUAUGUUGUUUAAGUAUAAGAAUGCAAAAUUUAAGAAUAUGUUUGUUUUGUUUGUUAGAUUCAAAUUCACUUAGUUGAGACCCAAGUCAGUUUAGGUCUUGACUUGUUCUUUUUAUAUUUGUUAUUAAAGGGUAUUAAUAUGAAGUCAAAAUAUAAACUCAAGCUAGUUUACUGCUGAGGUUUAAAACACAAACUCAAGCUGUCUGUUGCUGCUGUUUUUGUUUCUGUUUGUUUGCCGUUGAGGGGUGUUCUAGGUGCAGUAGGUGCAGGCAAUAAUUGGGUCUGAGGGGUAAAUCUCAAUUUAAUAUUCUUCAAUUUUGAAUUCAAAUUUGUUUUUGUCUUCUGUUUUUUUUAGAAAAUCAAUUUGCUUCGGAACAGUUAUAAAGAACAAGAAUAUAAUGACACAUUUCUUGAUUUUAGUAUAAUAUUGAAUUUAGUUUGUGCAUUUGUGUAACAUAUUAAUUUAUGGGUUCAAUUCUUGAAUUAUUAAGCAUAUAUACUUCACUCAAAUUCAAGUUAACAUGAGUGCAGGUAUGCUACGGCUCUAACAAGGUUGCUACAAUGAAUAAGUAGAGAUAACAUAUUCAAUGAAAAAUUAGAAAUAACAGUUGCAAGUACUAGUUGAUGGAGUGCUCCCACUUGUUAGAUCAAAGAGAUGAAUCAAACAAUCCGUACAUGCAGAUGGUGUAUGCAUGUGAGUUAUUUUUUCCCUUGUGUUUUUAAUUCUAUCCUUUUAGAUACUUAUGAAUUUACAAACCAUAAUGGAAUAUCAUUACUUCCAAAAUAUGUAUCUUUUUUGUUUAUUAUUCUUGUAGGUACUAGUUGAUGCCAAAUGUUAUCUCUCUAUAUAUAUAUAUAUAUAUAUAUAUAUAUAUAUAUAUAUAUAUAUAUAUAUAUAUAUAUGUGUGUGUGUGUCUUCAAUUCCACAACCAAACUUAUUAUAUGGAUGGUCCAUGUUGCUUCAGGGACAAUUUGUGGUGUUGUUAUUUAAACUACAUGUGUACUUGCAAUGUCAAAGUCUGAUUGAACUAGUUAUUCAAGGUUAUACCACUCCUUGUUUCUCUAAAUUUCAUUUUUCAAUUCAAACUUAAAAAAAAAAAAAAAAAAAAAAAUCAAUUGUCACAACACUUGUACAUGUUAGUAUUUUUCAUGUUUUGAAAGCAAGUAUUUGUGUUCCAUUUAUGCUAUGUUGUGGUUGGUGCAUUGGUUCAUCUUAGCGCUUCUUGAAUAUUCUAUUUUUGUUAGAUGUCUGAGUUGGUGUUAUGUUGCAGAAUUUUGCAGUUCAGUUUUGUCUUAUCAGUACUACUGUGAUUAGUUUAUGAUGUUGGAAGAGCUGCUGUGAUGCUGCAAAAUUUUGGGGUUCUAGUUUGGUGUAUCAGUUUGUGUUCUUUAGCGUUGAUGAUGCUUUGGAGUUUUAGCUUCGUUCCAGCCAUGCGUCCUAAGGUGUCAAGCAAGUGAGCUUCAGGUUAAGCUUGAUGAUGUUGUAGAGUUAUUAGACUCAUUCCAGCCAUGUGUCAUAAUAGAUCCCUGAAGCCUUUGAGCUUUGUAGCAUUGUUGUGUUGCAGCUCGAGAGGUAAGAAUCGAUUCUCAUAACUAGAUUGUGGUGCUUAUUUUGGGUGAUCUAGCUCUGUACCUUAUGAUAGAUAGCUACGGGUAGAUUUGAACGGACAAGUUUGUCGGUCAAGGACUUUGUAAUUCUAAAUUCAUGGAAUUAUAAAAUGUUUUUAAAAAUUGAUAAGAAGUUAUAAAACUAUGAAUUUAAAAUAUAAAUAUAAAACUAUAAACUUAAUGUAUCAAUGCUACAUAAAACUCAAUGCUAUAUAAAACUAUGAAUUUAAUGAAUUAAUGUUAGAUGAAUUAAUGAAUUAAUCUUAGACUGAUUAUUAUUUUCUUAAUAAUGUUUCUUUCAUAUACCUUGUGAUGGAUAGCUACAAGUAGAUUUUUCUAGUUUAGAUUAUUUCUUUUAAACUUGCGCCCGUGAUGUUUAAUUCUUGGCUACAACUGUAAAUGUGAAUCUGAUAAAGAGAGGACCUUGACAAAAUUGAUUAAGUAUUAUAUCUGGUAAAUUAGUUGACUUUAAUUUGAGUAGUUGUCAGAAUAAAACAUUUGACAUUUGAAGAGGCUGUAAAAGAAUAUGUAUUCUUUAUGGAAUUUGUUCACUAUGUCAUGUCCCUUAUGGAGAGUUUUUGGAUUUGUUGAUGCAUUGCUGAAUUCAUUUUGUAUACUCUGCAAUGUUACUUCAGGUUCGUUAGAAUUCUCGAGGUCAACCAGUUGGAGAAGAAAGUCAAGGUUUUGUCAGUUACAUUGGAGUCAUCGUUCGUCGGGAGGUUCCAAUUUGUAUGGAAAAUUGGAGAAAAAAGCCAAGGUUUUGUUAGUUUCUUUAGGUUUGUUAUCGUUCAUAUAUAUGUAUUGUGCAUAGACUUUGCAUUUUUAUGUAAGUGUACAUUAGAUGUCAUGUGUAAUUAAGUUUUUUAUCAACACAUUAUUGUUUAUUUAUAUUAAUGGAUUACUAGUGUUUCUGAUAUGUAUAUAUUUGGUCUGGACGGUAGAUGCUUUUAGCUGUGGAUGUAAUUUUAUAAAAAAAAAUAGGGACUUUUAUUAGCGCUUGUCUGAAAGCGCUAAGAAACACCUGUCUAAAAAUAGCAUAAAAAUAAGGCUUUAUUAGCGCUUUUCUGAAAGCGCUAAGAAACACCUAUCUUUUUAAUAGCGUUUUAAAAGCGCUAUUAUAGGAUUCUGACCUAUAAUAGCGGGGGCUUUCUUAGCGCUUCGAAAGCGCUAUUAAAUGCUAAAAUGAGUGCUAUUAAAGGGGGUAUUUUGUAGUAGUGAUGUCAGCGAUAUUUACACAAGUGUCACGCUGCUUGUGUAAUUCAAUUUUUUCUUUAGCAGUAACCUGACACGUGGAUUAUUCAUAUGAAUUAAAAUUAAAAAAAAUAAUCAUUUCUUCAUCCUUGUUCAUCUUCUUCAUUGUAUUUCCCCUUCUUUUCGUCAACCCUAAACCCCAAAAAUUCAUCAAAACAUAAAAUCAUCAUCAUCUCCUCAAUCCAUAAAUUCAAAACAAUUUCAACAACAUCUUUAACUCAAACGAGUGUCUACUAGACACAAGGUUAAUAUUA